UUAAAGUUGUUGCAGUUAAAACGCUCGUAGUCGAACUUCGGGCCUGGCGGGAUGGUCCGCCUUACGGUGUGUACUAUUCUGCUGGGCCUUACCUCUUGGUGAGACCUCAUGCUCUUUAUUGGGUGUGGGGUGGAACCAGGAAUUUUACCUUGAGAAAAUUAGAGUGUUCAAAGCAGGCCUAUGCUCGAAUACAUUAGCAUGGAAUAAUA
RNAcentral lists this ribosomal RNA (209 nucleotides) under uncultured eukaryote. Its description in RNAcentral is "partial 18S ribosomal RNA". It matches the Rfam family "Eukaryotic small subunit ribosomal RNA", at positions 604 to 819 of the family's 1831-position model. The record is from RNAcentral.